Molecule: ribosomal RNA, 758 nt
Filed under: Escherichia sp. E4208
Lineage: Bacteria; Pseudomonadati; Pseudomonadota; Gammaproteobacteria; Enterobacterales; Enterobacteriaceae
Description: partial 23S ribosomal RNA
Rfam family: Bacterial large subunit ribosomal RNA
Source: RNAcentral
GGGUUGUGAGGUUAAGCGACUAAGCGUACACGGUGGAUGCCCUGGCAGUCAGAGGCGAUGAAGGACGUGCUAAUCUGCGAUAAGCGUCGGUAAGGUGAUAUGAACCGUUAUAACCGGCGAUUUCCGAAUGGGGAAACCCAGUGUGUUUCGACACACUAUCAUUAACUGAAUCCAUAGGUUAAUGAGGCGAACCGGGGGAACUGAAACAUCUAAGUACCCCGAGGAAAAGAAAUCAACCGAGAUUCCCCCAGUAGCGGCGAGCGAACGGGGAGCAGCCCAGAGCCUGAAUCAGUGUGUGUGUUAGUGGAAGCGUCUGGAAAGGCGUGCGAUACAGGGUGACAGCCCCGUACACAAAAAUGCACAUGCUGUGAGCUCGAUGAGUAGGGCGGGACACGUGGUAUCCUGUCUGAAUAUGGGGGGACCAUCCUCCAAGGCUAAAUACUCCUGACUGACCGAUAGUGAACCAGUACCGUGAGGGAAAGGCGAAAAAGAACCCCGGCGAGGGGAGUGAAAAAGAACCUGAAACCGUGUACGUACAAGCAGUGGGAGCCUCUUUUAUGGGGUGACUGCGUACCUUUUGUAUAAUGGGUCAGCGACUUAUAUUCUGUAGCAAGGUUAACCGAAUAGGGGAGCCGAAGGGAAACCGAGUCUUAACUGGGCGUUAAGUUGCAGGGUAUAGACCCGAAACCCGGUGAUCUAGCCAUGGGCAGGUUGAAGGUUGGGUAACACUAACUGGAGGACCGAACCGACUAAUGUUG